AUGUGGUCCUUCAUUCUCCUGGUUCCUGCCUUUGCUUUCUGCAACUUGGGCACUGUGGCUGGAGCUCUUGUUGGUGAAUACUGAGGAAAAAGAGGCAUUGGAUACCUCAACCUUCUCCAUAUCCCAGGACUCAAAUUGCUGCUGACAGACCUGGCCUAGGAAAAUUGACUACAGCUUUCCAGGAUGGCUGAUUGGAUUGCAGUUUGGAAAGAAAACUAUUUGCCUCCAGAAACAAAUGCUGUGUUAUGAAACUCUUGGACCACUGGCCAAGACAGACCUGGCCAACCAUCACAAAGCAACAAACCAACCAUCAACACCCAGCAGAGGCUACCAGCUGCAUUGGCCACAGUGCCUCAGGCUGGAAUCACACCCUAUAAAUAAAAUGCUCUCCACGAAAAAGA
Non-coding RNA from Taeniopygia guttata (zebra finch), 401 nucleotides. Lineage: Eukaryota; Metazoa; Chordata; Aves; Passeriformes; Estrildidae. The record is from RefSeq and is a predicted model, not a curated record.